CUAGCUUCAGGUAAAAAGAGACCGUACUCCAAACCGACACAGGUGAUCAGGUAGAGAAUACCAAGGCGCUUGAGAGAACUCGGGUGAAGGAACUAGGCAAAAUGGCACCGUAACUUCGGGAGAAGGUGCACCGCUUUUGGUGAUGGGAUUUACUCCCUAAGCUGAGGGCGGUCGAAGAUACCAGGCCCCUGCAACUGUUUAUUAAAAACACAGCACUCUGCAAACACGUAAGUGGACGUAUAGGGUGUGACGCCUGCCCGGUGCCGGAAGGUUAAUUGAUGGGGUUAGCGCAAGCGAAGCUCUUGAUCGAAGCCCCGGUAAACGGCGGCCGUAACAAUAACGGUCCUAAGGUAGCGAAAUUCCUUGUCGGGUAAGUUCCGACCUGCACGAAUGGCGUAAUGAUGGGGGCGCUGUCUCCACCCGAGACUCAGUGAAAUUGAAAUCGCGGUUAAGAUGCCGUGUACCCGCGGCUAGACGGAAAGACCCCGUGAACCUUUACUAUAGCUUUGCACUGAACUUUGAACCUAUCUGUGUAGAUAGGUGGGAGGCUUUGAAGUCGAGACGCUAGUUUCGAUGGAGCCGUCCUUGAAAUACCACCCUGGUAUGUUUGAGGUUCUAACGUCGGCCCCUUAUCGGGGUUACGGACAGUGUAUGGUGGGUAGUUUGACUGGGGCGGUCUCCUCCCAAAGAGUAACGGAGGAGCACGAAGGUGUGCUAAUCAUGGUCGGAAAUCAUGAGGUUAGUGUAAAGGCAAAAGCACGCUUGACUGCGAGACAGACAUGUCGAGCAGGUACGAAAGUAGGUCUUAGUGAUCCGGUGGUUCUGUAUGGAAGGGCCAUCGCUCAACGGAUAAAAGGUACUCCGGGGAUAACAGGCUGAUACCGCCCAAGAGUUCACAUCGACGGCGGUGUUUGGCACCUCGAUGUCGGCUCAUCACAUCCUGGGGCUGAAGCCGGUCCCAAGGGUAUGGCUGUUCGCCAUUUAAAGUGGUACGCGAGCUGGGUUUAGAACGUCGUGAGACAGUUCGGUCCCUAUCUGCCGUGGGCGUUGGAGAUUUGAGAAGAGUUGUUCCUAGUACGAGAGGACCGGAAUGAACGAACCUCUGGUGUUCGGGUUGUCAUGCCAAUGGCAUUGCCCGGUAGCUACGUUCGGACGGGAUAACCGCUGAAAGCAUCUAAGCGGGAAGCCUCCUUCAAGAUGAGAUCUCCCUGGGACUUUAAGUCCCCUAAAGAGCCGUUGAAGACUACGACGUUGAUAGGUUGGGUGUGGAAGCGCAGCGAUGCGUUGAGCUAACCAAUACUAAUUGCUCGUGCGGCUUGACC
This 1322-nucleotide ribosomal RNA is filed under the name metagenome. RNAcentral describes it as "bacterial LSU rRNA". It matches the Rfam family "Bacterial large subunit ribosomal RNA", at positions 1621 to 2925 of the family's 2925-position model. The record is from RNAcentral.